AAAUUGAAGAGUUUGAUCAUGGCUCAGAUUGAACGCUGGCGGCAGGCCUAACACAUGCAAGUCGAACGGUAACAGGAAGCAGCUUGCUGCUUUGCUGACGAGUGGCGGACGGGUGAGUAAUGUCUGGGAAACUGCCUGAUGGAGGGGGAUAACUACUGGAAACGGUGGCUAAUACCGCAUAACGUCGCAAGACCAAAGAGGGGGACCUUCGGGCCUCUUGCCAUCAGAUGUGCCCAGAUGGGAUUAGCUUGUUGGUGAGGUAACGGCUCACCAAGGCGACGAUCCCUAGCUGGUCUGAGAGGAUGACCAGCCACACUGGAACUGAGACACGGUCCAGACUCCUACGGGAGGCAGCAGUGGGGAAUAUUGCACAAUGGGCGCAAGCCUGAUGCAGCCAUGCCGCGUGUAUGAAGAAGGCCUUCGGGUUGUAAAGUACUUUCAGCGGGGAGGAAGGUGUUGUGGUUAAUAACCGCAGCAAUUGACGUUACCCGCAGAAGAAGCACCGGCUAACUCCGUGCCAGCAGCCGCGGUAAUACGGAGGGUGCAAGCGUUAAUCGGAAUUACUGGGCGUAAAGCGCACGCAGGCGGUCUGUCAAGUCGGAUGUGAAAUCCCCGGGCUCAACCUGGGAACUGCAUUCGAAACUGGCAGGCUUGAGUCUUGUAGAGGGGGGUAGAAUUCCAGGUGUAGCGGUGAAAUGCGUAGAGAUCUGGAGGAAUACCGGUGGCGAAGGCGGCCCCCUGGACAAAGACUGACGCUCAGGUGCGAAAGCGUGGGGAGCAAACAGGAUUAGAUACCCUGGUAGUCCACGCCGUAAACGAUGUCUACUUGGAGGUUGUGCCCUUGAGGCGUGGCUUCCGGAGCUAACGCGUUAAGUAGACCGCCUGGGGAGUACGGCCGCAAGGUUAAAACUCAAAUGAAUUGACGGGGGCCCGCACAAGCGGUGGAGCAUGUGGUUUAAUUCGAUGCAACGCGAAGAACCUUACCUGGUCUUGACAUCCACGGAAGAAUUCAGAGAUGGAUUUGUGCCUUCGGGAACCGUGAGACAGGUGCUGCAUGGCUGUCGUCAGCUCGUGUUGUGAAAUGUUGGGUUAAGUCCCGCAACGAGCGCAACCCUUAUCCUUUGUUGCCAGCGGUCCGGCCGGGAACUCAAAGGAGACUGCCAGUGAUAAACUGGAGGAAGGUGGGGAUGACGUCAAGUCAUCAUGGCCCUUACGACCAGGGCUACACACGUGCUACAAUGGCGCAUACAAAGAGAAGCGACCUCGCGAGAGCAAGCGGACCUCAUAAAGUGCGUCGUAGUCCGGAUUGGAGUCUGCAACUCGACUCCAUGAAGUCGGAAUCGCUAGUAAUCGUGGAUCAGAAUGCCACGGUGAAUACGUUCCCGGGCCUUGUACACACCGCCCGUCACACCAUGGGAGUGGGUUGCAAAAGAAGUAGGUAGCUUAACCUUCGGGAGGGCGCUUACCACUUUGUGAUUCAUGACUGGGGUGAAGUCGUAACAAGGUAACCGUAGGGGAACCUGCGGUUGGAUCACCUCCUUACCUUAAAGAAG
RNAcentral lists this ribosomal RNA (1553 nucleotides) under Salmonella enterica subsp. enterica serovar Schwarzengrund. RNAcentral's name for it is "bacterial SSU rRNA". It matches the Rfam family "Bacterial small subunit ribosomal RNA". Lineage: Bacteria; Pseudomonadati; Pseudomonadota; Gammaproteobacteria; Enterobacterales; Enterobacteriaceae. The record is from RNAcentral.